UGCGUAGGUGGUGAUGCAAGUCUGGUGUGAAAUCUCGGAGCUCAACUCCGAAAUUGCACCGGAUACUGCGUGACUCGAGGACUGUAGAGGAGAUCGGAAUUCACGGUGUAGCAGUGAAAUGCGUAGAUAUCGUGAGGAAGACCAGUUGCGAAGGCGGAUCUCUGGGCAGUUCUGACACUGAGCACGAAGCCGAGGGGAGCAAACG
Molecule: ribosomal RNA, 205 nt
Filed under: uncultured bacterium
Lineage: Bacteria
Description: partial 16S ribosomal RNA
Rfam family: Bacterial small subunit ribosomal RNA
Source: RNAcentral